This 468-nucleotide ribosomal RNA is filed under the name uncultured bacterium. RNAcentral describes it as "partial 16S ribosomal RNA". It matches the Rfam family "Bacterial small subunit ribosomal RNA", at positions 28 to 507 of the family's 1533-position model. The record is from RNAcentral.
GACGAACGCUGGCGGCGUGCUUAACACAUGCAAGUCGAACGGAAAGGCCCUGCUUUUGUGGGGUGCUCGAGUGGCGAACGGGUGAGUAACACGUGAGUAACCUGCCCUUGACUUUGGGAUAACUUCAGGAAACUGGGGCUAAUACCGGAUAGGAGCUCCUGCUGCAUGGUGGGGGUUGGAAAGUUUCGGCGGUUGGGGAUGGACUCGCGGCUUAUCAGCUUGUUGGUGGGGUAGUGGCUUACCAAGGCUUUGACGGGUAGCCGGCCUGAGAGGGUGACCGGCCACAUGGGGACUGAGAGACGGCCCAGACUCCUACGGGAGGCAGCAGUGGGGAAUAUUGCACAAUGGGCGGAAGCCUGAGGCAGCAACGCCGCGUGCGGGAUGACGGCCUUCGGGUUGUAAACCGCUUUCGCAUGUGACGAAGCGUGAGUGACGGUAAUGGGUAAAGAAGCACCGGCUAACUACGUG